AGAUAAGUAUACAUAGGUACAUACAUAGUUACAAAUGCGUACAUAUCAUACUCAAUUCUCACUCGUAUACUUACCACAGAAGAAAUGUUUUUUCAUAUAAUUUUUCUCACACGGUAAUUCAUAUCAGAUAUUUUUCAUUUUGUACCGUCAUUUAUAAUAUUUUCAGUAUACCUAAUAAUUCACGUAAAGUGACAUGAAUUCACUCAAUUCAUCUCAAAUGUUCGUAUUAAUACUCUGGAUAAACAUUGCGACGAUAUCCUCAGCUCGUGUCAUCUCUUUCCCCCCUAGACCCCCUCCUUCAAGAAGUGACCCUCCUGUUGAGGAAAGUAGACCUAUCGUCUCCCAGUGGCCUGAAGAAUCUGAACGGUACACCUCUUGGACUGGUGCAACCGAUAAUGUCAUCCCUUUUCCCACUACGCCUACUAUAAUGGUCCUAUAGAUAUACCACUUUUGAGCCCAAUCUUUCUCCGCUCCGGCGCUCCCUCCGUGACUGAAAAUUUAAACAAGAUUUUGACAAACGAAAGAAGAAUACACGAGUAUUCAAGAAAUCGUGGAUUGAGUCAACAAGUACAGUGUCGAGAGUAAAGAAAAAAAGGCCAUGUACAUACGAGUAGUUCCAUUCAAUCUUCGUUUUCACAUGCCUCCUUUUCCUAGUACCUAUACUCCUGACAAAUACAGUAUUAUAUUGCACCUACUUAUAAAUUCUUUUUCAAAGUCAAUUUUUUUUCAUGCUUCCUUCAUUUAAAAAAAAAAUUAAAAUCACGCCAUUUUGAGAGCCUCAGAUGCGGUUCAAAAUUGAAAAUUUUCAAAAAUUUAUACGGUAAAAAAAAUUUAACACUUGCGCAGAAUUCAUUUUUGAUGUCCUUAUUUUCAUUCCAAACCCCGAAAUUGGCCUCAAAGAGAAGACUCGAAAUUGAAAAUUUACAAUUUUUUUAAAACUCGAUUCAUUUAUUUUCAUCAACUUAUAAUAUAAACUAGAUAACCCGUUUUUCGCGCAUACUGCGCUCCUCUUCUAGAUGUGAAUUGUUCAUUUUGAAAAUUUUGAAAGUAUUUUUUUUCGCCUAUAAUUCCCAAAAAGUCUUGCUUUUUGCUAACAUUGUUAUUGUUGCUUUUUGCCGGAAAUUGUGAAAGUUUAUGGCUGUUUUAAUAAUUGACAGAAAAAAAAUUGUUUCAAAGCAAAAAUUCCAAUAAUUCUUACUUUUUCAUCAAAAAUAUGUAACCCAAAGCGUAAAUUGUUCUCUAAAAUAUCCUGAAAAGCAUCAUUCUGUCAUCGCUUUAUCAUUCAUUAAAAUAAUGUCCUACUUUUCUACAAAAAUUGAAAAAAAGUAUCAGCUUUCUUAUAACAAUUGCCUGAAAAGUCAUGGUUUCAUUUAAAGUUGGCAAAAAUUUCAAGUUUUAGGCAAAAUUGCGAAUUAGGCUACCUACUUUUCACUUUUUUAGCAGAAUUUGCUGAAAAAUUCCAAAAAUACUUGUUUUUUUUCCUACAGUUGAAAUGAAACUAACACAUCGGAUUGGAUCUAAUACCACAUAACUGAAAAUUUCAAAGUUUCACUCAACUUUGACCUGGAACUUUUUUAAGCUUUCUUCAAAACUGCGAAUGUGUCAAAAUGUAUUUUAUGGCAAGCUUUUUCUAAGCAGACUAUGAGUACUCUAAAUAUUGGUUCGGUACUGGAGAAUACUUCAAUAAAAUACUUACUUAACACAAUUUUAGAAAUAUUCCAAGAUUUCCGAGUAAAAAAAUGCAAUUAGGAAUUUCCUUAAAACGUGAUUCUAAUUUUGUCAAGGACUCACAAAAAAAAUUCAACCCCUCAGUUGAAAAAUCUAAACUCCUACAUAUAACAGUAGAGAUUUUCCCAAAUAGUCCGAAACUUGCAUAAGUUGAUGAAAAAGUGAGAUGCUAGAUAUAACCACUCCAGAACUCAAAAAAAUGAAACCAUGGUUCCAGGAUUAAUUUUGAUACCCAAUGUGCUAAAAAUAGCACUUUUUCAUGUGUACAUCAACACCGUUGUUUUUCUGUUUUGAGCUAUUUAAAAACUUUUUAAAGCUUCCUUCAGAAACUUUUCAACUUUUAAUAAAAACCAUCACAACUAAAGUUUAAAAGCUAUUUUCAAAUCAAAAUAUCAUUGAGUAGUAGAGAAUACUGAUUGUAUGAAGCUUUUUCAUGUUUUUUAAGCUUUAGGAUUUCAUUUAAGCUUUCUUCAAAACUGUGAAUGUGUCAAAAUGUAUUUUAUGGCAAGCUUUUUCUAAGUAGACUAUGAGUACUCUAAAUUGGUUCGGUACUGGAGAAUACUAACUUCUUAUGUCAUAUCUGAAGCUUUCUAAAAAAUUUUCAGCUUUAAGCUUUCUUCAAAAUUUCACGAAUAUGGUCAAAAAGUAUUUUUUGGCAAGCUCGAUAUAGGUAGACUAUACAUACUUUAAAAUAUUCAUUGGGCACUGGAGUAUUCUAAUUUUUACAUCAUAUCUGAAGCUUUUUGAACUUUUUUCAGCUUCAAGCUUCCUUCAGAAUUUUGCGAAUAUGGUCAAAAAGUAUUUUUUGGGGAGCUCUUUUUAGGGAGACUAUACAUACUUAAAAUAUUCAUUGGACACUGGAGAAUUUUAAUUGUUCUUAUGAAGUAUGACGCUUUUUGAACUUUUUAAAGCUUUAAGCUCCUCCAAGACUCACCCCACAACCUCACCAAAAAAAUAACUCCAGAUUCGAACUCUACGACCUCGAAAACAUAUCAAUCGACAUAUCACACAAUAAUAUAAGAAACAUUUGACAUUUGAGCUUUUUUGAACUUUAAGCUUUUUUCAAAACUUUACGAAUAUGGUCAAAAAGUAUUUUUGGCAAGCACAUUCUAGGUAGGCCAUACAUACAUUAAAAUAGUUAUUGCGUACUGAAAAAUUCUAAUUGUUUAUGUCAUUUAUAACGUUUGUUGAACUUUUUCGAGCUUUGAACUUUUUCCAAAAUUCUACAAAUAUGGUUAAAAAACAUUUUUUGGCAAGCUCUUUCUAGGUACACUAUAUGUACUUGAGCGUAUACAUCGACACAGUCAUUUAUACUGCCUUGAACUUUUUGAGCUUUUUGAAGCUUUUCAAAGCUUUAAUCAGAACUUUCCAAAGUUUUGAUACCACAACUCCACCAAAAAACUGACUCCAGAUUCGAACUCUACGACCUCGAAAACAUAUCAAUCGACAUAUUACACAAUAUACUCGUAAUAUAAGGAAAAUUUGACAUUUGAGCUUUUUUGAGCUUUAAGCUUUUUUCAAAACUUUAUGGAUAUGGCCGAAAAGUAGUUUUUGGCAAGCACUUUCUGGGUGGACCUCUUACGUAAUUUAAAAUGUUUAUGGGGUAUUGAAGAAUUCUAAUUGUUUACGUCAUGUACAAAGCUUUUUCAACUUUUUCGAGCUUUAAGCUUUUUAUAAAACUUAACAAAUAUGGUCAAAAAGUAUUUUUUGGCAAGCUCUUUCUAGGUGGACCAUACGUACUUUCGCGUAUACAUCGUCACGCUUGUUUAUACUGUAUCAAUUUUUGAGCUUUUUGAAUCUUUUGAAAGCUUUUUUCAAAACUUUUUGAACUUUUGACCAAAACCUGCACAUCUACGGGUCAAAAGCUUUUUUUUGAGACAUCGUCGAACAAAAUCGGUUCGGCGGUUCUUCCAAACGAACGAUCACAAAAAAAACACCUUGCUAUUAAUAUAUAGAUAUUGAGCUUUUUUUGAGUUUUAAAGCACAAAUUUUUUGUGAACUUUUUUCUUCAACAUUUGACUUUUUUAGAUGCUCUUUCAAGGUAUAAUAUACGUACUACUGUGAAUACUACAUAUAGGCUAAAAUCAAUUAUUGAGCUUUUUUGAGCUUUAUGGCACAACUUUUUUGUAAACUUUUUUUUUGACAUUGGACUUCUUUCGAUGCUCUUUCAAGGUAUAAUAUACAUAUUUCUCUAUAUAUGUCGAAUGUACUACGUAUAGGCUAAAAUCAAUUAUUGAGCUUUUUUGAGCUUUAAGGCACAACUUUUUUGUGAACUUUUUUCUUCAACAUUUGACUUUUUUAGAUGCUCUUUCAAGGUAUAAUAUACGUACUACUGUGUAUAUGUCGAAUGCUCUACGUAUGGACAAAAAUCAAUUAUUGAGCUUUUUUGAGCAUUACGGCGCAACUUUUUGAACUUUUGAUUAAAACCUGCACAUCUACGGGUUAAAAGCUUUUUUUUGAGACUUCGUCGAUCAAAAUAUAAUAUACAUAUUUCUAUAUAUGUCGAAUGCACUACGUAUAGGCUAAAAUCAAUUAUUGAGCUUUUUUGAGCUUUAUGGCGCAACUUUUUUAUGAACUUUUUUCUUCGACAUUUGACUUCUUUUGAUGCUCUUUCAAGGUAUAAUAUACGUACUUCUCUGUAUACCUCAAGUUGGCUACGUAUAGACAAAAAUCAAUUAUUGAGCUUUUUUGAGCUUUAAGGCACAACUUUUUUGUGAACUUUUUUCUUCAACAUUUGACUUUUUUAGAUGCUCUUUCAAGGUAUAAUAUACGUACUACUGUGUAUACGUCGAAUGCGCUACGUAUGGACAAAAAUCAAUUAUUGAGCUUUUUUGAGCUUUACGGCGCAACUUUUUGAACUUUUGAUUAAAACCUGCACAUCUACGGGUCAAAAGCUUUUUUUUGAGACUUCGUCGAUCAAAAUCGGUUCAGCCGUUCCUGAGAUCUCGCUGUCACAAGAAUCCGGUCAUAAUUUUAAUAUAUAGAUGUGAGGAAUAAAUAGCACAUCAUUUUAGAGAUAUUUUUCUGAAAAGUGUUCAAUUUUUAAUUUUUUUUUUUGUUUUGUACAAACAAACCAAUAAAAAUACACUUCUUGUGACUAUUUCAUCUUAAAAACGUUCAAAACUAUCGAAACCGUUUUUAACACUUCGUAUGUACGAAAUUUACUCAGAAAAAGAAGAGUUUUUAAAGAUAUCUUUCUAACUCCAAACAACUUGCGAUGUUGGUUGGAAUUUUGAGUUGAACCAUUUGCAUUUUUACAAAGAUCUAGGAAGUGUACCCAACCCAAAGUGUUAUUUUUGGUUGCAAGGGGUCACACAAACCCUUAAAAUGCAAAAAUCUCAAAAUCUUUUUUUUUGAGAUAUAACCUUAUUACUCUCAAAGUGCGAUUUGACCUCAAACCCCAAAAUGGGUCCCAAAAAGGAGGUUCAAAAUUGAAAAUUUUCAAGGAAUACAAUAUGAGUAUCAUAAUUCAAACUUUUCAGGGCGAAGAAUUAAUUUUUGAAAACCAAAUAUUUGACCCCCAACUCCAAAAUUGGCCCCAAGAGAAGUUUCAAAAUUUCAAAAAGUAUAAUACUGGUGAGUAUUAAAAUAUAUUUUAUUAAAGACCCAGAAUUCAUUUUUGAAGACCAUUCGAUCUUUAAUUAAAAUCAACAAGCCAAAAAUCGAUUUCGUAGCAUGGCAAUUGGCUAAAUAAAUUUUCGCACUUCCUGGAAAAAUUCAAAAAUAGGUACUAGAAAAAUCAAAAAUCGUGCUGAAAGUUCUAAAAUGGCUAAAAAUCGUGAAAUUCAGUUUGAGGGAAUAACAGAAUUCCAUUAUUUUUACAAAAAAAAUGUAUCUUAAUUUUUGAUAUUUUGAAAAUCAUUAUUUUCUGGAUUUUCAAAAAUUCGCUAAAAAUCGAAAAAUUAAUUCAGGCUGCUGAAAUUUUGUCUACUGGAAGAGGAGCAAGGGUUCAAAAUAAAUGCCUAUGCACUUCCAAAAAAAAAAACAACACACAUUUAAAUUUCAGACAAACCAAUGUUUUAGUUGCAACUCCUUAGUUGCAACUCCUUAGUUGCAACUCCAACUCCAGAUUCCAAAUCUUUCAUUCCAGGUAAGUACUUCAUAACUUUGACUUUCCCUCUGCAAUUUUAAAAUGUGUUUGUACUUCGCAUAUGCACCUGACCGUUACAGAAAACAUACCAGGGAUGAAAAGCUAGCCGAAAGCUGAAAGCCGAGCAAAUUUUCGCACUAAGCCAAAAGCUAAAAGCUUGCAAGUUUCAUUUUUUCCAAGCCAAAAGCUAGCCAAAAGUUUCAUUUUUUUGGCUUUUUUCAAAGGCUUUUUUGCAGAAUUGAAUUCUCUAAAUUCAGAAGAAACAAAAACAUGAAAAAAAUUUCAUUCAAUUUUAUUUUAAUGCGAUUUAGUGAAAUGAAAAAAAAGGGAAAUAAUUCUAGCAAUGAAUAUUCUCCACUAUCACUAAUUAUUAAAUUAAUGUACCUGAUCUAAUUUUUAAUUCCCUUUUUUGUAAAUUGAUGACGUAUUAGCUAAAAGUUCAAAGUCAAAAGCUUAAAGCCAAAAGUUAAAAGCUAAAAGCUUAAUUUAAAUAUGUAUAGCUGAAAGCUGUCAAAUUGAAAAUAUAAGGGAAAUUUGAAGUCUCCAUACAUUAAAAACAGUGAUAUGAAUUUACUUAUUUUAUUUCAAAUUUUUGUGGCAAUAUUCUCGAUAAAUAUUGCGAUAUCCUCAGCACGUAUCAUCUCUUUCCCCCUGGCAAGUAUUAUUCCUUUUCCUGACUUGAGUGCAAGAGCUAUCGUCUCCCAGUGGCCUCAAGAAUCUGGUUACAUCCCCGGGACUGGUUCAACAGAAAAUAUCAUCCAUCUUUACCACUGGGCUUCCGUAAUUCCAAUCUUUGGAUCCGGUCUUUCUUCUCCCCCCAACUCCGCCUUUCACCCCUCGCCCCAAGGGACACCCAAGAAAUAAGAAUCCAAACUAGGUUUACUUUUUUCUCGCAUAGUACCAUGAUUAAGAUGAGGUAUUUGUCAUGUUGAACCUUCUUUAAUAAUAUCAUCAGCCAUUCGGAAACAGUGAUAUGAAUUUAAUUAUUUUGUUUCAAAUUUUGGUGCCAAUACUCUGGAUCAGUAUUACAGUGAGAUCUUUAGGUGUCAUCUCUUUCCCGGUUUUGCCUCAUCAUGUUACACAUGACCGUUCAGUGCGUCAGCCCCCAGUGCCUGGACCUAAUAUUCUCCUCAUGCACACAACUAAGCCUAGAAUCUAUCGCCGGAGAGCCUCUACUGCGCCUGUUAUCUCUUUCCCCGAUAACCCUACAUCCAGAUCUGGACUUGACGUACAUUGGACUAGUGAGACUGGACGUCUCUUCCGUUUGUCGCCCCCAUCUACUCGAGCUCCAUGGAUCAGACUUUUCCCCAAAAUGCCAGGGAUAACUGGAACCCACAAAGGCUAUGACUGAUGUUGAAGGAUUUGAAGAAUUCACGAAUUCAAGAAAGAUCGUGGAUUGAGUCAACCAAUAGGUACAGAGUGGCGUGAAAAACGAUCAUUUUUCAGAGAUAUAUCUGAAUAUGCCAUGCAACCAUUCAAUCCAAUUUCAUUUUCACACAUCUCCUAUUCCUAAAUUCCUGUUGAUCUCUGAAAUUGGUCCAUGAUAUAGACAACACAAGUUGAUGUGUGAGAAGCUGUUUGAAAUUUAACAAGUGAUUCUUCUGAAAGGAUUCUUCACACUGACUGCGAAAAAGUUUCAACACGAUCGGUUUUUUCGCUAAGCCAAUGCCAAUUAUGGUUGAUUAUUGGUUGGUAUUUUUUUGGUCUGUUUUUGAAUUGUUCUCGAUUGUGUAGAAAUCGUAUUCGAGAGUCUGCCAGUAAAUCGAAAGCCUUCGGAUUUUUUUCAGCUCACAAAUUCAGGUCAAUGGUGUACCUAUGGUUGGAAAAUUUCAGACAGAAAUUCACCACUUUUUGGGCUGGAAAAAGAACUGAGAAACGUUUUUUGUAUCUUUGGAGGUCUUCAAACUGUACUUAGUAGUUACCUAUAAGUGAAAAUUUUUUAAAAAAAUCUACAUCUUGGUGAGAUAGAUAGCAUAAAUCCAUAGCAAACUUGCACUGGUUAAUGGUUAGCUCCAAAAACCGAGCAAAGGGUCUUGUCACCAUUUUUACUCGACUAUGCUUUUCCAUUACAAUUUUCAUUUAUCUGUUGAUCAAUAUUAUGGAUAUCAAUUUAUUUUAUUAUUCAUUUAUAAUAAAUAUUAUUCACUUUGUGU
Molecule: long non-coding RNA, 7971 nt
Organism: Planococcus citri (citrus mealybug)
Lineage: Eukaryota; Metazoa; Arthropoda; Insecta; Hemiptera; Pseudococcidae
Exons: 7
Source: RefSeq, a predicted model, not a curated record